UUAUGUCUUGCCGUAUAUUUCUCGGUAUUUAAAUUAGACAUUUUGCCACAUUUUUAGAAAACCAGCAAACACAAGUAUUUAAUUGCGACCAUUAGGCAAAUCAAGGAGAGCAGAAAAAUGAAUGGAAUUAUAUGAAUAUAUGAAUAUAAUAAAGAUAUAAGAAAAUUAAUAUUAAUACAUAGAAAAAUCAAAAUCCGACAAAAUUAUCGAAGCAGCGUGGUAAAUAAAGAACAUUGACAUUGUUUUCACAGAACCUGUGCCAGGAGAACAGCCAAUAUCGCGCAAGUACAUGAAUUAUUAAUUACUUUGUGCACAAUGCACAAUAGCUAAAGAAAUGUUGAUUACAUUUAAAAAAGAAUUUUAUUAUUUAGAAAAAAAAAUUUGAUGUGUUAUCAGAAACAUUGGCGGAGGCGGUGGCUCUUCUCAAGCUACCAUGAAGUUCCAAAUGCCAUGAAGUUCCCGAUAGAGUCGACGAUGGAGUGGGAGCAUUUCAACUCUAUCAUAACUCCAGAGCUCACCGAUUUCUAUGUGAAGUUAGUUGUUAUUUUUUCAUUAUUUUCUUUUAUUAGAUAAACAAAUUACGGAAAUUAAUGGGGACGAGCCGAUCAAUGGUAUGCAGUUUGAAAAAUGUGCUGGAUGAGAAGCUCAUUUUAGAAUACAACUAAAAUGGUGCUUCGGCGAAGAGCUCGCUAAAAAAUUUUUAAGAGUUUUUGCAAUGUCCUGGAAUCGGCGGUGAAGAUGAAAAUACCCAACGAGCGAGCAGAAAAAGUGAUUCGGAAGGCUAUUCACAACAUUAAGAAAAGUAAUUUUCAGAAGAGCUCACGAGCCUAAAAAUACAAAGCUCUGGCCUCCUAAGAAAAUAAUUAAUAAUAGUUUUUCAUAAAUAAAGCU
This is a long non-coding RNA of Drosophila pseudoobscura, 891 nucleotides long. RefSeq lists it as uncharacterized. The transcript is spliced from 3 exons. NCBI's taxonomy places the organism in Eukaryota, Metazoa, Arthropoda, Insecta, Diptera, Drosophilidae. The record is from RefSeq and is a predicted model, not a curated record.